Molecule: ribosomal RNA, 2905 nt
Filed under: Escherichia coli DEC12E
Lineage: Bacteria; Pseudomonadati; Pseudomonadota; Gammaproteobacteria; Enterobacterales; Enterobacteriaceae
Description: bacterial LSU rRNA
Rfam family: Bacterial large subunit ribosomal RNA
Source: RNAcentral
UUAAGCGACUAAGCGUACACGGUGGAUCGCCCUGGCAGUCAGAGGCGAUGAAGGACGUGCUAAUCUGCGAUAAGCGUCGGUAAGGUGAUAUGAACCGUUAUAACCGGCGAUUUCCGAAUGGGGAAACCCAGUGUGAUUCGUCACACUAUCAUUAACUGAAUCCAUAGGUUAAUGAGGCGAACCGGGGGAACUGAAACAUCUAAGUACCCCGAGGAAAAGAAAUCAACCGAGAUUCCCCCAGUAGCGGCGAGCGAACGGGGAGCAGCCCAGAGCCUGAAUCAGUGUGUGUGUUAGUGGAAGCGUCUGGAAAGGCGCGCGAUACAGGGUGACAGCCCCGUACACAAAAAUGCACAUGCUGUGAGCUCGAUGAGUAGGGCGGGACACGUGGUAUCCUGUCUGAAUAUGGGGGGACCAUCCUCCAAGGCUAAAUACUCCUGACUGACCGGUAGUGAACCAGUACCGUGAGGGAAAGGCGAAAAGAACCCCGGCGAGGGGAGUGAAAAAGAACCUGAAACCGUGUACGUACAAGCAGUGGGAGCACAGAGCAAUCUGUGUGACUGCGUACCUUUUGUAUAAUGGGUCAGCGACUUAUAUUCUGUAGCAAGGUUAACCGAAUAGGGGAGCCGAAGGGAAACCGAGUCUUAACUGGGCGUUAAGUUGCAGGGUAUAGACCCGAAACCCGGUGAUCUAGCCAUGGGCAGGUUGAAGGUUGGGUAACACUAACUGGAGGACCGAACCGACUAAUGUUGAAAAAUUAGCGGAUGACUUGUGGCUGGGGGUGAAAGGCCAAUCAAACCGGGAGAUAGCUGGUUCUCCCCGAAAGCUAUUUAGGUAGCGCCUCGUGAAUUCAUCUCCGGGGGUAGAGCACUGUUUCGGCAAGGGGGUCAUCCCGACUUACCAACCCGAUGCAAACUGCGAAUACCGGAGAAUGUUAUCACGGGAGACACACGGCGGGUGCUAACGUCCGUCGUGAAGAGGGAAACAACCCAGACCGCCAGCUAAGGUCCCAAAGUCAUGGUUAAGUGGGAAACGAUGUGGGAAGGCCCAGACAGCCAGGAUGUUGGCUUAGAAGCAGCCAUCAUUUAAAGAAAGCGUAAUAGCUCACUGGUCGAGUCGGCCUGCGCGGAAGAUGUAACGGGGCUAAACCAUGCACCGAAGCUGCGGCAGCGACGCUGAUGCGUUGUUGGGUAGGGGAGCGUUCUGUAAGCCUGCGAAGGUGUGCUGUGAGGCAUGCUGGAGGUAUCAGAAGUGCGAAUGCUGACAUAAGUAACGAUAAAGCGGGUGAAAAGCCCGCUCGCCGGAAGACCAAGGGUUCCUGUCCAACGUUAAUCGGGGCAGGGUGAGUCGACCCCUAAGGCGAGGCCGAAAGGCGUAGUCGAUGGGAAACAGGUUAAUAUUCCUGUACUUGGUGUUACUGCGAAGGGGGGACGGAGAAGGCUAUGUUGGCCGGGCGACGGUUGUCCCGGUUUAAGCGUGUAGGCUGGUUUUCCAGGCAAAUCCGGAAAAUCAAGGCUGAGGCGUGAUGACGAGGCACUACGGUGCUGAAGCAACAAAUGCCCUGCUUCCAGGAAAAGCCUCUAAGCAUCAGGUAACAUCAAAUCGUACCCCAAACCGACACAGGUGGUCAGGUAGAGAAUACCAAGGCGCUUGAGAGAACUCGGGUGAAGGAACUAGGCAAAAUGGUGCCGUAACUUCGGGAGAAGGCACGCUGAUAUGUAGGUGAAGUCCCUCGCGGAUGGAGCUGAAAUCAGUCGAAGAUACCAGCUGGCUGCAACUGUUUAUUAAAAACACAGCACUGUGCAAACACGAAAGUGGACGUAUACGGUGUGACGCCUGCCCGGUGCCGGAAGGUUAAUUGAUGGGGUCAGCGCAAGCGAAGCUCUUGAUCGAAGCCCCGGUAAACGGCGGCCGUAACUAUAACGGUCCUAAGGUAGCGAAAUUCCUUGUCGGGUAAGUUCCGACCUGCACGAAUGGCGUAAUGAUGGCCAGGCUGUCUCCACCCGAGACUCAGUGAAAUUGAACUCGCUGUGAAGAUGCAGUGUACCCGCGGCAAGACGGAAAGACCCCGUGAACCUUUACUAUAGCUUGACACUGAACAUUGAGCCUUGAUGUGUAGGAUAGGUGGGAGGCUUUGAAGUGUGGACGCCAGUCUGCAUGGAGCCGGCCUUGAAAUACCACCCUUUAAUGUUUGAUGUUCUAACGUUGACCCGUAAUCCGGGUUGCGGACAGUGUCUGGUGGGUAGUUUGACUGGGGCGGUCUCCUCCUAAAGAGUAACGGAGGAGCACGAAGGUUGGCUAAUCCUGGUCGGACAUCAGGAGGUUAGUGCAAUGGCAUAAGCCAGCUUGACUGCGAGCGUGACGGCGCGAGCAGGUGCGAAAGCAGGUCAUAGUGAUCCGGUGGUUCUGAAUGGAAGGGCCAUCGCUCAACGGAUAAAAGGUACUCCGGGGAUAACAGGCUGAUACCGCCCAAGAGUUCAUAUCGACGGCGGUGUUUGGCACCUCGAUGUCGGCUCAUCACAUCCUGGGGCUGAAGUAGGUCCCAAGGGUAUGGCUGUUCGCCAUUUAAAGUGGUACGCGAGCUGGGUUUAGAACGUCGUGAGACAGUUCGGUCCCUAUCUGCCGUGGGCGCUGGAGAACUGAGGGGGGCUGCUCCUAGUACGAGAGGACCGGAGUGGACGCAUCACUGGUGUUCGGGUUGUCAUGCCAAUGGCACUGCCCGGUAGCUAAAUGCGGAAGAGAUAAGUGCUGAAAGCAUCUAAGCACGAAACUUGCCCCGAGAUGAGUUCUCCCUGACUCCUUGAGAGUCCUGAAGGAACGUUGAAGACGACGACGUUGAUAGGCCGGGUGUGUAAGCGCAGCGAUGCGUUGAGCUAACCGGUACUAAUGAACCGUGAGGCUUAACCUU